RNAcentral lists this ribosomal RNA (1352 nucleotides) under uncultured bacterium. RNAcentral's name for it is "bacterial SSU rRNA". It matches the Rfam family "Bacterial small subunit ribosomal RNA", at positions 28 to 1381 of the family's 1533-position model. The record is from RNAcentral.
GAUGAACGCUAGCGGCAGGCCUAAUACAUGCAAGUCGAACGAGAUCAGUUCUUUCGGGAACUGGUUUAGUGGCGCACGGGUGCGUAACGCGUAUGCAACCUACCUUAAACUGGGGGAUAGCCCGAGGAAACUCGGAUUAAUACCGCAUAAUACUAUUUGAUGGCAUCUGAAGAUAGUUAAAGAUUUAUUGGUUUAAGAUGGGCAUGCGUGCCAUUAGCUAGUUGGAGAGGUAACGGCUCACCAAGGCGACGAUGGCUAGGGGUUCUGAGAGGAUGAUCCCCCACACUGGUACUGAGAUACGGACCAGACUCCUACGGGAGGCAGCAGUAGGGAAUAUUGGGCAAUGGACGGAAGUCUGACCCAGCCAUGCCGCGUGCAGGAAGACGGCCUUCUGGGUUGUAAACUGCUUUUAUAUAGGAAGAAAACACCCAUGCGUGGGAAACUGACGGUACUAUAUGAAUAAGCACCGGCUAACUCCGUGCCAGCAGCCGCGGUAAUACGGAGGGUGCAAGCGUUGUCCGGAUUUAUUGGGUUUAAAGGGUGCGUAGGCGGCCCGUUAAGUCCGUGGUGAAAGCCUCCAGCUCAACUGGAGAACUGCCAUGGAUACUGGCGGGCUUGAGUACAGACGAGGUUGGCGGAAUUGAAGAUGUAGCGGUGAAAUGCAUAGAUAUCUUCAAGAACACCGAUUGCGUAGGCAGCUAACUAGGCUGUAACUGACGCUGAGGCACGAAAGCGUGGGGGAGCGAACAGGAUUAGAUACCCUGGUAGUCCACGCCGUAAACGAUGAUUACUCGAUGUUGGCGAUACACAGUCAGCGUCUUAGCGAAAGCGUUAAGUAAUCCACCUGGGGAGUACGCCCGCAAGGGUGAAACUCAAAGGAAUUGACGGGGGCCCGCACAAGCGGUGGAGCAUGUGGUUUAAUUCGAUGAUACGCGAGGAACCUUACCUAGGCUAGAAUGCGCGUGACCGCCUCAGAGAUGGGGCUUUCCUUCGGGACACAAAGCAAGGUGCUGCAUGGCCGUCGUCAGCUCGUGCCGUGAGGUGUUGGGUUAAGUCCCGCAACGAGCGCAACCCCUAUCUUUAGUUGCCAGCACAUAAUGGUGGGGACUCUAAAGAGACUGCCUGCGCAAGCAGUGAGGAAGGUGGGGAUGACGUCAGGUCAUCAUGGCCCUUACGCCUAGGGUUACACACGUGCUACAAUGGGCGGUACAAAGGGUUGCUACUUAGCGAUAAGAUGCCAAUCUCAAAAAGCCGCUCUCAGUUCGGAUCGAAGUCUGCAACUCGACUUCGUGAAGCUGGAAUCGCUAGUAAUCGCGUAUCAGCAAUGACGCGGUGAAUACGUUCCCGGGCCU